CAUCUGGCUGCUGUGCACGGGCGCGCGCGAGGCCGCUUUCCGCAACAUCAAGACCAUCGCCGAGUGCCUGGCCGACGAGCUCAUCAACGCGGCCAAGGGCUCCUCCAACUCCUACGCCAUCAAGAAGAAGGACGAGCUGGAGCGCGUGGCCAAGUCCAACCGCUAGACAACACCGCGACGGCGCCAAUAAAGUUCAGUCCUCCUUCCCUG
Long non-coding RNA from Nothoprocta perdicaria, 210 nucleotides. RefSeq lists it as uncharacterized. The record is from RefSeq and is a predicted model, not a curated record. NCBI's taxonomy places the organism in Eukaryota, Metazoa, Chordata, Aves, Tinamiformes, Tinamidae. The transcript has 2 exons.